GAUGAACGCUGGCGGCGUGCCUAAUACAUGCAAGUCGAGCGAACAGACGAGGAGCUUGCUCCUCUGACGUUAGCGGCGGACGGGUGAGUAACACGUGGAUAACCUACCUAUAAGACUGGGAUAACUUCGGGAAACCGGAGCUAAUACCGGAUAAUAUAUUGAACCGCAUGGUUCAAUAGUGAAAGACGGUUUUGCUGUCACUUAUAGAUGGAUCCGCGCCGCAUUAGCUAGUUGGUAAGGUAACGGCUUACCAAGGCAACGAUGCGUAGCCGACCUGAGAGGGUGAUCGGCCACACUGGAACUGAGACACGGUCCAGACGCCUACGGGAGGCAGCAGUAGGGAAUCUGCCGCAGUGGGCGAAAGCCUGACGGAGCAACGCCGCGUGAGUGAUGAAGGUCUUCGGAUCGUAAAACUCUGUUAUUAGGGAAAAACAAAUGUGUAAGUAACUAUGCACGUCUUGACGGUACCUAAUCAGAAAGCCACGGCUAACUACGUG
Molecule: ribosomal RNA, 497 nt
Filed under: uncultured bacterium
Lineage: Bacteria
Description: partial 16S ribosomal RNA
Rfam family: Bacterial small subunit ribosomal RNA
Source: RNAcentral